AAGACGAUAAGGGAUCGCCGGUCUACCGAGCAAUAUCACCCGCUCGGUGGAAGAUCGUCCCUUAAUCUUCAC
Molecule: microRNA precursor, 72 nt
Filed under: Bombyx mori (domestic silkworm)
Lineage: Eukaryota; Metazoa; Arthropoda; Insecta; Lepidoptera; Bombycidae
Description: microRNA bmo-mir-2774a precursor (bmo-mir-2774a-1)
Rfam family: mir-2774 microRNA precursor family
Source: miRBase by way of RNAcentral